This 301-nucleotide ribosomal RNA is filed under the name uncultured bacterium. Its description in RNAcentral is "partial 16S ribosomal RNA". It matches the Rfam family "Bacterial small subunit ribosomal RNA", at positions 509 to 807 of the family's 1533-position model. The record is from RNAcentral.
CAGCCGCCACGGUAAUACGUAGGGUGCAAGCGUUAAUCGGAAUUACUGGGCGUAAAGCGUGCGCAGGCGGUUUGUUAAGACAGAUGUGAAAUCCCCGGGCUCAACCUGGGAACUGCAUUUGUGACUGGCAGGCUAGAGUAUGGCAGAGGGGGGUGGAAUUCCGCGUGUAGCAGUGAAAUGCGUAGAUAUGCGGAGGAACACCGAUGGCGAAGGCAGCCCCCUGGGCCUGUACUGACGCUCAUGCACGAAAGCGUGGGGAGCAAACAGGAUUAGAUACCCCGGUAGUCCCUGUCUCUUAUAC